Molecule: non-coding RNA, 539 nt
Organism: Pelobates cultripes (western spadefoot toad)
Lineage: Eukaryota; Metazoa; Chordata; Amphibia; Anura; Pelobatidae
Source: the annotation of a GenBank genome assembly
GCCAUACGUGUGCAUUAACCCUCGCAGUUGGGUGAUGUCAGAGGAGGCGGAGCAGAGAGAGGGUUUAUUUAAUCCUAUCAGUGUGGGUGGGAAGGGGUGCAGAGGAAACUAUAGUGCUAACAAUAUAAUUUUGUGUUCCGUUCACUGCAGUAUCCCUUUAAGUUUAGGAUCUGAUUUAGUACACCUUAGGUUUAUAAAUGUCUUUAUUCAUAAUCUCACUACACAUGUACCACAUAACAGAUAUUCCGCAGUAACAAUUGUUCCCCCCAAAACAUGUUCAUACGCUGAAAAGCAGAAGAGGAAAAAAAAUCAACUACUUCGAUUCAGGUGCAGCAGCUGCCAUCUGUUUCCAGACAGAGUUGCAAGAUAAAUAUUCUUUAAAUCAAAUCAGCCAUUAGACAGCUGCCCAUCUACCCAUUACCUAGUCCUCUCUGUACAGGCUGGUGUGACGGUGAAAAAGAAAGCACUUUUAGGGAAAUCGCUGUCACUGUAUGGAUCUGUUUAGCUCUAGAACAGGGGUUCUCAACGUUAGUCCUCAG